Molecule: RNA transcript, 3933 nt
Organism: Populus nigra (black poplar)
Lineage: Eukaryota; Viridiplantae; Streptophyta; Magnoliopsida; Malpighiales; Salicaceae
Gene name: protein TRAUCO
Exons: 7
Source: RefSeq, a predicted model, not a curated record
CUUCUAAAUUCUAAUCCAUCUUUGUCUUGUCUUUGCUUUUAACUUUUUUCCCCUUCUGUCAAUGACUCAAAAACUCCUUUCGCUCCUUCGCUAAUCUACAAGUCAAAACCUCCGCGACCUCAUGGAUUCCCUUCAAGCCACCUACAGAGAGGAAGAGGAAGAGGAAGAACAAAAGCAACCCAACAACAGCAUCACCAACCACAGUCCUCCCACCCCUCCUCCUCCUCCUCCUCCCACCACCACCACCACCAGUAGCAGCAGUCCGAUUGAACUCGAAGAACACCAAAACGGCACAGCCCCACAUCAAGGCGACACUGAAAUAACUCCAAUUAACAACACGAAAGCCAACCAACAACCUCAACAAGAGGACGCCUUUGUAUCAGCCUCUGAAUCUCUCUCCGAAUCAGACCACCCGACAACCUCAAACGACACCGAGAAACCCACACCCAAAUCUCCCAAAAUUGAAGACACUGAAAUUGAAGACGAUGAAGAUGAAGAAGACCCACCUCCUAAAAAACAGAAACAACUCUCCUCUUUAACACAGAAACAAGAGCCACCCGAACCAGCGACAACUGCAGAAAUCGAAAACGACAAUGGAGCCAGCGAGUUCAAGAAACCAACCAAAAUCACCCCAACAACAACAAAAAAAAAGAAGUCGAAGAAAAAGAACAACAAUAAUGUCUGGGUUACAAGAUCCACACGCAAAGGCAAGAAAAAAACAAAACCAAACCCGCAAAACACUCCAUCAGAAGACACUGUCUUAAUCACUCCAGCCCCAAGAUUCCCUGACAAAAGCGACGACUCCCCAGACUUAAAAAUCUGCUUAUCUAAAGUAUAUAAAGCAGAGAAAGUCGAAUUGAGCGAAGAUAGAUUGAGUGCAGGGAGCGCCAAGGGGUAUAGAAUGGUGAGAGCUACAAGAGGUGUAUGUGAAGGAGCUUGGUAUUUUGAAAUUAAAGUGGUUGCUUUAGGAGAAACCGGACACACACGACUUGGGUGGUCUACGGAGAAAGGGGACUUACAGGCACCAGUUGGAUAUGAUGGAAAUAGUUUUGGGUAUAGAGAUAUUGAUGGGAGUAAAGUGCAUAAGGCAUUGAGGGAGAAAUAUGGCGAGGAAGGGUAUAAAGAGGGGGAUGUUAUAGGGUUUUAUAUUAAUUUGCCGGAGGGGGGGUUGUAUACUCCUAAACCUGCUCAUUUGGUUUGGUAUAAAGGGCAGAGGUAUGUUUGUGCUCCUGAUGCUAAGGAAGAUCCUCCCAAGAUUGUUCCUGGAAGUGAGAUAUCUUUCUUCAGAAAUGGAGUAUGUCAAGGUGUUGCGUUUAAGGAUUUAUUUGGUGGCUGUUACUACCCCGCUGCUUCAAUGUACACUCUCCCUAAUCAGCCAAAUUGUGUGGUCAAGUUUAACUUUGGCCCUGAUUUUGAAUUCUUUCCAGAGGAUUUUGGAGGACGCCAAGUUCCCAAGCCUAUCAUUGAUGUUCCUUACCAUGGGUUUGACAACCGUGCUGAAAAUGGUGUGAACGAUGAGAAGAAACAUUAGCAAGUAACCUUUUUACCGUCAGCAGAGUUGGGAGGCGAGCACCAGACUGAAUUAGAAUCUGUGGAUGCGUUCUUAAAUUUGCCAUAUAAGUUCAACGUUAGGGCAUGUGCGCUCAUAUUCUGGUUUGGUUUCACUUGCAGCACUACAAGUUAAGUCCAGCAUUUGAUUGUCAUCACUCAAUUGUGCAUUUGCUUGAAAGAUUUUCAGGCACACUUGGGCUUUAACAAAAGUGGUAUUUUAGAGUGGCACGAUCAUCACGAAAUUUUGAUUAAGAUGAGCUAAACAUCGGCUCUCUUAUUUUGGAUACAGUUUGGACCGCAUACUGGAAAUUAGGCUCAUGAGUACAGCCGGCAACCUUCUCUUGAGAAUCCAAACUUAACCUUGCAUGUGGGCACAUUCAACAAGGGAAAUGCUUAGCAGGCCAUUCCCAAAAUCCAAAUUAUGGUGCUUUCAGAUGUCGAUGCGCAUUGCUUCUUCAGAUUGCAGAGAAAUUAACUAAGAAACCUUAUACCAACAAAAAGGUUACUUAACCUUACCAUGGACUCUUCCUGUAUACCUUGAGCUUGAGCACUUCAAACUUCUUGUCUGCUUGAGGGGCAGGGCUAGUGUGCAGCGCGGCCAUAUGUGUGAAAAGUGUCUACUAGUAAGGAAUUGGAGAGCUGAGACCCUCUUGAGAAGACAAAGAAUGAGCAGGUUGGUGUCUUUUUGAAGGGAAGGGUGAAUAAGAAGUCUUCCUGAAAGAUGGCCUCUUCUUCAGAUGCUUUAGAGUCCUCUUGGAAUGAAGCUCCCGAAGCAUGGGUAGAGUUCUCUCCUUGAACUUGAGAAUGGCAAAGAAGAGAAGUCUGAAAGCAAUGAGAAUGAUCAGGACAGCAGACAGGUCCCACCAUUUUGAAUGAUCAAGACUAAUACCAAGCACGGUUGUGAGAACUUCUUCUCCUUUCAGUUUUGGACCGCCAGAAAUGAUGACAGCAAAAACUAAACUGCCAUAGCAUACUUGCACAUACUCUGUGAGAUCCCAUUAGGGUUGCAGUGACAAGGUCGAAGUCUGAAUUAAUACAACGUAAGAAAUGAUCAGAAGGGUUUCUUCUACUUGGACAUGGGAAUCCAGCUUCAGCAAAGAACUGCAAAAUCAGCAUUCCAGCAAGAAAAGUGAGAAAACAUGUUGAAUUCUACUUGCAAUGUGCCCAAGGAAAAUCCAAUAUUGGUUAUACACUUGUACCUCUACCGCCAUCUUUGCCUCUCCAAAAUAAACUGUUUCGCCACCAGAUAAUAAGAAAAGGUCAUCAAAGAGUGCGAAAACUUCGCUACUUGGCUGGUGAACAGAAGAUAUGACGGUUCUUCCAUCGCGAGCAAUAUUUCUAAGAGUUUGAAUUACAAAGAAAGCUGCAGCACUGUCCAGGCCACUUGUAGGUUCAUCAAGAAACAAAAGUUGUGGCCUUAUAAGGAUUUCAAGUGCAAUACUUAGUCUUUUCUUCUCCCCACCACUUAUACCUCUUAAAUGCCAGUUUCCAAUCAGCCGAUCACUGCACUCUUGGAGACCCAUUUCCAUGAUUGUCCCCUCUACAAUGUCAUCUAUCUCUUCUUUAGCCAUGCUGCUUGGAAGUCUCAAAUGAGCCGAGUAAUUCAGGGUCUCUCUAACUGUGAGAGUGCCCAACAAUGUGUUUUCUUGUGUUACAUAAGCCUGAUUAAUGAUACAGCAUUAGAAGAGAAAUAUGUGUAUUUUCUUCAAAUUUUCAUUUGGGAGAACUAGGAUAUAUAUCAUUUUUCAUUAAUUUAUUUUUAUGAACACAAGAAACUAGAAUCUUACAACACCACCAUAGUCCAGUCUCCUCUUCUUCCCGUUGAGUAGAACAUUCCCAGUCAUCACAGCAUUCCCUGCUAGUCUUCCUGCACAAAUUCCAUAGAUUGCAGGAACAGACAGUCAGUACAAUUAGUAUUAAGUGACAUACAAGUCAAUAAUAUUUCCCUCAUAUUCACUAGCUAUAUAACUCAAAUCUAUUGAAUAUGAUUGAGCUGCAAAUAAUAGGUUGGAAGUUGGAACUCUCUCGCUAUAGAAGCUCCUCGUGAUCACAAAAUACAGAGGUAGUGAGUGUUCUCAUGGAGAACGAGCAUGGGAUAGGGUCGGCUGGAUUCACACAUGGGAUAUUGGUCCAGAGGCAGUCUUCAUUAUGCUGUCAUCAUAAAUUAAGAUAUACAGCAAUUGAUGGGGUUGGAUAGAUCAUUGAACGUGAUGGCAAAUUGGUGGCAUGAUGAUCUAGCUCAUUGUCCAACCCAAGGUAACCAGUUAAAGAAAAGAAAAGUAAGAUCAUGUUUUGUGACUUCUGCAAUUAAGAGAAAUUUUGUUUAGCGGAAUCGUGUUUUCUUCGUUACCUUUUCAUUGAUAAUAUAAUUCAUAUAUAUUA